UCACUAUUCCCUUGCAAGUGGACUGUCUGACCUUUGUUGUGUAUUUAAGUCUCCUUUCAGAUCAUUCUUGAAGAAUCCCCUUGAAGGAUUUCUCCUGGCAGAGAACAUCUCCUGAAGGCAAAUGUCAUACCAGAGAAUAAAGGAAUGCCAUACAUACAGAGAUGAACAUCUUCUGCUCCUUCCUCUGAAGGAAAUAGUUUCCCCCAUUUUCCACACCCUUGGGUCUUUCUGGAUCACUGAUGAACAAACAGAAGGGCCAAAUCCAAUGUAGUCAGCAGUCCUUCUGGGAAGCAACCCUGCUUCAGCUGGCAUUUGGUAAGGGCUGGAAAGAAGCCCAGUAAUCUGGUCAUUUGGGAGUUUCGGGAGAUUUGCCAUGACAUCUUAAGAUAGUCUGUCCCAGCAUAGUGGAAC
RNAcentral lists this long non-coding RNA (411 nucleotides) under Numida meleagris (helmeted guineafowl). RNAcentral's name for it is "lncRNA (ENSNMEG00000018642.1)". Lineage: Eukaryota; Metazoa; Chordata; Aves; Galliformes; Numididae. The record is from RNAcentral.